RNAcentral lists this ribosomal RNA (1985 nucleotides) under activated sludge metagenome. Its description in RNAcentral is "bacterial LSU rRNA". It matches the Rfam family "Bacterial large subunit ribosomal RNA", at positions 482 to 2487 of the family's 2925-position model. The record is from RNAcentral.
GACCGAUAGUGAACCAGUACCGUGAGGGAAAGGCGAAAAGAACCCCGAUGAGGGGAGUGAAAUAGAACCUGAAACCGUCAAUCUACAAGCAGUGGAACCGCUAUGGUUUACCAGCGGAACCGCGUGCCUUUUGCAUAAUGAGCCGGCUAGUUAUUUUCAGUGGCGAGGUGAAGCCGAGGAGGCGAAGCCGUAGGGAAACCGAGUCUGAACAGGGCGCCAGUCGCUGGGAAUAGACGCGAAACGGGAUGAUCUAUCCUUGACCAGGAUGAAGUCCGGGUGACACCGGAUGGAGGUCCGAACCAGUGUGGGUUGAAAACCGCUUGGAUGAGUUGAGGAUAGGGGUGAAAGGCCAAUCAAAUUCCGUGAUAGCUCGUUCUCCCCGAAAUAGCUUUAGGGCUAGCGUCGGAUGUUUCGUCGUGCAGGUAGAGACCUGAAUGGACUAGGGGGCUUACCAGCUUACUGAAUCCAACCAAUCUUCGAAUGGCACGCCGUGAAGUCCGGCAGUCAGACUGCGGGUGAUAAGAUCCGUAGUCGAGAGGGAAAGAACCCAGAUCGCCAGCUAAGGUCCCAAAAUACAUGCUAAGUGGAAAAGGAUGUGGAUGUGCUUAGACAGCCAGGAGGUUAGCUUAGAAGCAGCUAUCCUUUAAAGAAAGCGUAAUAGCUCACUGGUCAAGCGGGUCUGUGCCGACAAUUCAACGGGGCUAAAGCAUGUUACCGAAGCUGCGAACGUAAGUGGUAGGGGAGCAUUCCCUACGUCUGUGAAGGUUGACCGUAAGGACAGCUGGAGACAUGGGAAGAGACUCUGUCGGCAUAAGUAGCGUAAAGACGGGCGAGAACCCCGUCCGCCGUAAGACUAAGGUUUCCAACGCAAGGUCAAUCCGCGUUGGGUUAGUCGGACCCUAAGCCGAGGCCGAAAGGCGUAGGCGAUGGAAGGCUGGUUAAUAUUCCAGCACCAUGAGCAUCUCGUUUGUACGAUGCAGGGACGCAGGAAGGUAGGGACGCAGGGCUAUGGAAUGUCCUGCGAAAGAUUCCAAGGGUGGUGCUUAGGGAAGUCCGGGCGCCAUGAGCUCAAGGUUUCUGACGAAAAGUCCUGAUCCUACACUGCCGAGAAAAGCUGCUAAGGAGAGGUGCUUGUGUCCGUACCGCAAACCGACACAGGUAGUCGAGGAGAGAAUCCUCAGGCGUUUGAGAGAACUCUGCUGAAGGAACUCGGCAAAUUAACCCCGUAACUUCGGGAGAAGGGGUACCCCGGUAGGGUUCAUAGCCCGAGGGGGUGGCACAUAAAUGUUCCAGGCGACUGUUUAACAAAAACACAGGUCUCUGCAAACUCCAAAGAGGAGGUAUAGGGGCUGACGCCUGCCCGGUGCCGGAAGGUCAAGAGGAGCGGUUAGCGCAAGCGAAGCUGCGAAUUUAAGCCCCGGUGAACGGCGGCCGUAACUAUAACGGUCCUAAGGUAGCGAAAUUCCUUGUCGGGUAAGUUCCGACCUGCACGAAUGGCGUAACGAUCUGGAAACUGUCUCCAGCAGAGACUCAGCGAACUUGUAGCACCGGUGAAGAUGCCGGUUACCCGCACUUAGACGGAAAGACCCCGUGCACCUUUACUACACCUUGACAUUGAGGUUGGCGUUGGACUGUGCAGGAUAGGUGGGAGACUAUGAAACUGGCUCGUUAGGGUCGGUGGAGCCACCCUUGAGAUACCACCCUGUUUAACGCUGAUCUCUAACUCGCACCCGUGAUCCGGGUGGAAGACAAUGUCAGGCGGGUAGUUUGACUGGGGCGGUCGCCUCCUAAAGCGUAACGGAGGCGUGCGAAGGUUCCCUCAGGCUGUUUGGAAAUCAGCCGUAGAGCGCAAUGGUAUAAGGGAGCUUAACUGCGAGACACACACGUCGAGCAGAUGCGAAAGCAGGUCAUAGUGAUCCGGUGGUCCCGAAUGGAAGGGCCAUCGCUCAACGGAUAAAAGGUACGCCGGGGAUAACAGGCUGAUC